RNAcentral lists this unclassified non-coding RNA (3087 nucleotides) under Eurytemora carolleeae. RNAcentral describes it as "rING finger protein 145". The record is from RNAcentral. Lineage: Eukaryota; Metazoa; Arthropoda; Copepoda; Calanoida; Temoridae.
AGUUACCCCUUUCAGAGUCUAAUGUCAAUAUGGGACAUUCCGGAACAGGAAGGUUUUCUACUAAAAGGGCUUUUGUGCAUUUUAAGGGUACCAGGACUACUGAUACUUGAUAUCUGUUGGACUGAACGAGCCUCAAGUUUGAUCCCUGAAUCAUUUGAACCUGAGAACUUGGGAGAAACUGCAAUCAGUUUUUCUCUUCUCCUCCUGGGAUUAUGUGGAUUAUUACUGUCCCUGCGUGACCUGGUUGAUAUUUAUCUUCAUAUUAUUAGUGUUGGACUUGUAUACCUAGCUCACACCAUCACUAGUAUGCUUCUACCAGAUAUAUCAACUAAACUAUCCGUCCAGGCUUGUGUUCAAAGUAUCCUCUAUAUCCUUCUUCUAACUUUUAUAUUAAACUGGAGUUUAAGAAAAAAGGGAUUGUUUCCUUUGCUCUUCCCAUCUCUCUACACCCUACCCAUUUUUAUGGCAUUAGCGGGGUUCUCUACUGUGAACUAUCAGAGUAUUCUGUUAGUGAUUGAUAAAUUCAUGACCGGGGUUAUUCUUCUCUACACAUUGAAAACUGUUCCUACUGUCCUCAGAUAUAUGUCAGCGGUGAAGGAUAUCUACUCUGUAGUGUGGGAGGAGCUAGGAAACAUACAGUUCGUCCUUCUCAUUGCUCUCAGAGGGUUUCAACCUCCAGUUCUAGUUCUAUAUUGGAUAUUUUCAUUCUCCUCUCAGGCCUGGUUUUACUACAUGGACCUGGACACUGACAAGACUUACAUCAUUGAAGACAGGGAUUGGUUGGUUGAUUUGACAGUUAUAAUAUCGGAAACUUGUUAUACUCCGCUUAUCCUGAUCGGAUUGUGUACAACUAUCAUGGGACUUUCUAAAGCAGUAAUGGACACUUUGCUCUGGAUCUUCCGUAAGUGUGCUGGGGGUGAGGUUGGGGUGGAGAACCCUCUCGCACAAACUGGUUUUACGGAGGGGAUGGUGGCCUUCGUCCUAGCACUUCAGACUGGAUUGAUUGAUAUGGAAAUGCCAGUGCGAAUUGCCGCAACUUAUGCGAUCAUCUUCAACGUUACCAGCACUCUCAUACAGUCUGCCUUCGAGGUGUCCUGUCCUGUUUUGCUAGCUCUGCCUGCCAUUAAUAGAAGAUUAAUAUCCCAUAUACCCGUCCUACUAGUUGUUCUCAGUAUCCUUGUUAUACCCAUUCUCAUCCUCUUCUCAGUGUUUGACAAGGUCUCCAAUGAUUUAUGGCUGAUAAUUGUCAUUUCCAGCUACUUCGUUACAGUUAUCCAGGUGGUAGGAGCUCUAGUAACCUACUCCCUGUUUAUGUGGGAUUCGUUCCAACCUGAAGCAUCAGAGCAUAUGGACGACUAUGUUUUCUAUAUUAAGGCUGGAACAAAAGGAUUUGAACUCUUGGUUGCUAUUUCAAUUGUGACCGGUGGUAUGUAUGAGUACAUGAUGGAGGACACAGAGGCUUCGUUAUUGAAUCCCUUCAUCCUCUUGAUACACUGCUACUUCAACAUCUACCAGAGGAUCGCCUCGGGUUGGGCGACCUACAUGUCCCGAAGAGAAACUAAAAAACGUUUAUCUGAACUGCUGGAUGCAACUAAUGAUGAGCUUGAAGCGCAUGCAGAUGUUUGCAUUAUCUGCUAUAUGCAAAUGCAAUCUGCUAAGAAAACAGAGUGCGGCCAUUUCUUCCAUUCAAACUGCUUAAAGAGAUGGUUGUAUGUACAGGAUAACUGUCCCAUGUGCAGAGCUCCUAUAAUUCAUUUAAUCAAUGAUGAACAUAAUGAGAAUUCUGCACAAGAUGGACAUCAUGCUGCACAAGAACAGGCGCAUACUGCACAAGAUGGACAUCAUGCAGCACAAGAUCAGGCGCAUACUUCACAAGAUGGACAUCAUGCUGCACAAGAUCAGGCGCAUACUGCACAAGAUGGACAUCAUGCUGCACAAGAUCAGGCGCGUACUGCACAAGGUCAGGAGUAUGCUGUACAAUAUCAGCAUCUUGCUGCACAUGAUCAGGAGCAUGCUGCACAAUAUCAAGAGCAUACUGCACAAGAUCAACGCCGAGCUUUUCAUAGUCUCCAACCUGAGGAUAACGAUGAAGAAUGUCGUCCUUCACCCUUACCUGAAAACGAAACCUCCCCUAGUGAUAUAUCGGAACAUGUCGCCGAAGAAACCCGGGAGAACCUUGUCCUAGAAGAUAAUCAAAAUAACAACGAUGUUUUCCAAGAUAGCGCAACCUUGCGCCGUCGAAUAUUUGGUAAUGUUGCACCUUCAAACUGACAUUUUUAUUUUAAAUUAUUAAACAUCAAGAAUCCAAUCUAUAGGGAUAUAUAUUUUCCUCCUUUAUACAUAAAAAGCUUUUUGAAAAUUUUUCAAAACCCCUAAAUACGUGUGUCGUUUGAUAUCUGUUCUGCGUACUUCAGGGCUGUUCAUUAAUCUUGACAAAAAUUUAUAUAAUUAUACAAAUUCUUCCGUUGUCUCCUUUAAUAUUGGAUAUACUGAAGAAAAGCUUGUAUUUAAAAUGUAUAUCCUUAAAGUCUAAACACGUUAUCUCACCAGGAAUACCCCUUGUAAAUCUGUGAUAUUAUUAUACUUCUGUGUUCACUAACAUUCUCUAUGAUAAUUUUUAAGAAAAAUUACUUUUUGACUUCAUACAUAACUUCAGCUCUCUCUCUCUCUGGCUUAGCAAAAAGAAAGCUAUUAAAAACGAUUUAUGCUUUCUCUCUCUGGCUCAGCAAAAAGAAAGCUCUUAAAAACGAUUUAUGCUUUCUCUCUCUCUGGCUCAGCAAAAAGAAAGCUCUUAAAAACGAUUUAUGCUUUCUCUCUCUCUGGUUCAGCAAAAAGAAAGCUCUUAAAAACGAUUUAUGCUUUCUCUCUCUCUGGCUCAGCGAACAGAAGUUUCUAUAGAAACUAGGAUAUACGAUUAUCUAAAAUAUUAUAUUUUUCCAACACUUUAUCGUAUUUUGCAUUACAUUUUUUAUUAAGUUUUAAGGUAAAUAUAUCUUGAUUGUUAUGUUGUGCAUUAUACAUGUACAAUGUACAUGUUAUGUGUUUACACUGUACACUAAAAGGAUCAAUAAAAUGUCUUUUUAAUUG